CUUCUGUGGUUUCCCCCCAGUGGAAAAGUCCCAUUGUGAUACUGAAGAGAGCAUCUGCGACUAAAGGCGUGGCGAGCCGUUGUUACUCGACAAUCAACCCCCACUUCAGCCUGCUUCUCCGGAAAAUCAACGCCAGAAACUGGAUUUUUAAUCUAAACAUCAAGGGUGGAGAAAUCGUGUAAAGUGAGUGGUCGUUGGAUGCAGCAGUCGCCUAACAAACACUAAGACCGGGGUUUACCUGUCCGUUAGCUUUGGAGGGUGAAACUGCAGCCGUUUCUUCCUUUCCAGC
Long non-coding RNA from Carassius gibelio (silver crucian carp), 289 nucleotides. RefSeq lists it as uncharacterized. The transcript has 3 exons. Lineage: Eukaryota; Metazoa; Chordata; Actinopteri; Cypriniformes; Cyprinidae. The record is from RefSeq and is a predicted model, not a curated record.